RNAcentral lists this long non-coding RNA (1410 nucleotides) under Canis lupus familiaris (dog). Its description in RNAcentral is "lncRNA (ENSCAFG00030002603.1)". The record is from RNAcentral. Lineage: Eukaryota; Metazoa; Chordata; Mammalia; Carnivora; Canidae.
AUGUUAUGGUCGCAGCGCUCUCUGCCAUAUGUGUUGGUGGAACGCUUAGGAGUCUCGCUCCGCAGUAAACGCAAACCGUGCCAGGCUGGAAGACCGCGGCCCGCGCGGCGAGGUGCAGGGCUGCGGCGCCGGGGCCGGGGGCCGGGGGCCGGGGGGCCGGGGGGCCGGGGGCGCUCCCCGGAACAAAGGCACGAUCCUGAGGCCGUUUCGCGGGCCGUCCCCCCUCCCCCCACCCCAGCGCCAGCUUUGUCUCCUCGCGCGUGCGAGGCUGAGACUCGGAGGAGCCCCCGAGCCGGAGGGGCCGGCGUGGGAAGCUGCCCCGGCCGCCGCUGCGGUUUCCUGCAGCGCGACGAGCCCUUAGAGGAAGUGGGAGGGCCGCGCGGGGCUACCUGCAGCCCGCCGAGCGGGGCUGGACCUGAACCCCGCGCCCCCGGGGCCGUCGUGCGCCGGGGCCCAGGCGGCUGGGAGGGCGGGGGGCUCGGCGCCCCGGCUGCGCGGAGGAGCUGGGGUCCCGGCCCAGCUGGGCCUCGCGCGCGCAGCCCUGCCGCCGGGCCCUCCCCCGCGCCCCCCGCGCGCCCCCGCCGCCCCCGCCCCCGCCUCCGCCCCCGCCGCCCCCGCGCGCCGGCACUGGCUCGCGCAGGCCUCCUGCCCGGCCGUGGGCGGGGGGGCGAAGCCCGCGGGAGGCGCCCCGCCCCGCCCCGCCCCGCCCCUGCCCCGCCGCGCGCAGUCUCUCCCCCUGCCCGCCGGGGCGGUGGCGGUGGCGCUGCUGCUGCCGCGCGGCCUGCGAGGCCGGCACUCCCCUCCGCCCGGCUCCCUGCUCCUCCUUUCUCUCCCUCCCUCCCUCCCCCUCCCCGCCCCUCCCGCCCCUCCCGCCCCUCGCAGGCUCGCCAGCCCGAGCGAAGGUGGCGCGGCGGCGCGGGACGCAGCCUCGGCCCCCGCCGCGGCCCCGCGAGCCCGAGAGGACCCCCGCGCCCCGCCCCCCCGCCCCCCGCGGCCCCCCGCGCCGCCCGGGGGCGCCCCCGCCGCGGCCGCCCGGAGGAAGCGCGAGCCGGGGAGCGAGGGGCCGGCGGCGGGAAGCCGGGAGAGGGAGGAGAGCGCGGCUCGAGGGCCCGCCCGCCGCGGCGCCGAGAGGGACGGACGGAGGGACGGACGGACGGACGGACGGCGGCCGGGGACGGGAGGGGCGGGGCGGGGAGGGGGCCGCCCGCGAGCUCGCCCGGCCCCUCGGCGGCGGCCCCGGGGCGGCGGCGGGCGGAGGGCGCGGCGGGCGCUGUCGAGACAAUAACCCGGAGCCGGAGGCCUAGCGCGGCCGGGACCCCGCGCCCCGCGCCCCCCGCGCCCCCCUGCCCCCCCCGGCCCCCGGCCCCCGGCCCGGGCCCGCCGCCGCGGGGACGCACUUGCGCGCCGUGA